RNAcentral lists this ribosomal RNA (700 nucleotides) under Gigaspora margarita. RNAcentral describes it as "SSU rRNA". It matches the Rfam family "Eukaryotic small subunit ribosomal RNA", at positions 383 to 1088 of the family's 1831-position model. The record is from RNAcentral. Lineage: Eukaryota; Fungi; Glomeromycota; Glomeromycetes; Diversisporales; Gigasporaceae.
CCGGAGAGGGAGCCUGAGAAACGGCUACCACAUCCAAGGAAGGCAGCAGGCGCGCAAAUUACCCAAUCCCGAUACGGGGAGGUAGUGACAAUAAAUAACAAUACAGGGCUCUUAUGGGUCUUGUAAUUGGAAUGAGUACAAUUUAAAUCCCUUAACGAGGAACAAUUGGAGGGCAAGUCUGGUGCCAGCAGCCGCGGUAAUUCCAGCUCCAAUAGCGUAUAUUAAAGUUGUUGCAGUUAAAAAGCUCGUAGUUGAAUUUCGGAGUUCUACCGUUGGUCGGGCAAUAGUCUGUACUGGCGUGUAGAAUUUCUACCUUCUGGGGAACCAUCAUGUUAUUUAUUUAGCGUGGUGGGAAACCAGGACCUUUACCUUGAAAAAAUUAGAGUGUUCAAAGCAGGCUUACGUCUGAAUACAUUAGCAUGGAAUAAUAAAAUAGGACGGUGGUCCUGUUUUGUUGGUUUCUGAAUCACCGUAAUGAUUAAUAGGGAUAGUUGGGGGCAUUAGUAUUCAAUUGUCAGAGGUGAAAUUCUUGGAUUUAUUGAAGACUAACUUCUGCGAAAGCAUUUGCCAAGGAUGUUUUCAUUAAUCAAGAACGAAAGUUAGGGGAUCGAAGACGAUCAGAUACCGUCGUAGUCUUAACCAUAAACUAUGCCGACUAGGGAUCGGACGAUGUUAAUUUUUCUUGACUCGUUCGGCGCCU